CUGCUUCAGUUAUUAUUAGAUUUUAUUUUUCAGUCAAAAAGCUGAAAUAAUAUUAAAAGACGAGAAGACCCUAUAGAUCUUAAUAAUUUAUUAAUUAAUUUUAUAUAGAAAAUUUAAAAUUUAAUUAAGAAAAUUAUUUUAUUGGGGUGAUAAUAAGAUUUAAUAAACUCUUAUAUUUAAAAAACAUAAAUUAAUGAAUUGUUGAUCCAUUAAUAGUGAUUAUUAGAUUAAGUUACCUUAGGGAUAACAG
Molecule: ribosomal RNA, 250 nt
Filed under: Conops sp. JFC-2009
Lineage: Eukaryota; Metazoa; Arthropoda; Insecta; Diptera; Conopidae
Description: partial 16S ribosomal RNA
Source: RNAcentral